Ipomoea nil (Japanese morning glory) is the source of this 896-nucleotide long non-coding RNA. RefSeq lists it as uncharacterized. The transcript has 3 exons. Lineage: Eukaryota; Viridiplantae; Streptophyta; Magnoliopsida; Solanales; Convolvulaceae. The record is from RefSeq and is a predicted model, not a curated record.
UAAAUCCCCAAAUUUAAUCUAAAACCCUAAAUCAGCCAAUUCUGUAAGAACGUUCUUUCUAUUGUUUAUCCCUCGCAGAAACCUCUGAUAAUCUUCACUAGAACAUUCUUAAUUCUUUCAAGCAGACACCGAUCGGAUUCAAGCUCAAUGGCAGUUCGAUCCUAGAUAAAUCGGAUUCCCAUUAAUCCGACCUCCAAUACUUAUUGCCUCUGGUUCUCCGAUUCUCAGCAUCCAGUAUUACGCCUUAAUCUCAGGCUUCAUUCCUCUCUUGCUCUUUAUCCCUCUCAACAGAUCCCUAUUCCAAUACCGCCAAGUCUCCUUUUUUCAGUGCGUCUCCAUCUCAUUUUCAGAUAUUGAAGCAGAGAAAAGUAAAAAUAAAUAAAUUAAGAAUUAAAAAUGAAAUUCUUGGGUUGGUACGUGAAGAUAGCAAUCGUUUCAGCCAUGAUUGGAGGCUCCAUGGAGUUGUUCAUGGUCAAAACUGGCUUCUAUGACAAGGUAACCGAAUUGGAGGCAGAAAAGAGGGCCUGGGAUAGUUCCCCUGAAGCCAAAGCCAUUAAAGAGGCUCUCAAUCCGUGGAGAAAGCAUGAUGCAGAACCAAAGAGAAAUUCUUAGUUUGCCCACAUUCCGAACAAUCGAGUAUAUGACUCUAUACACCGGACUCUGUGUCUUCUGCAGGAAUUCUGUCAUUACAACCUUGAGGAAGAGCUUCAAACCAAAAUCUUGUCAAUCUCUUUUUGUUUUGUUUUGUUCUUUUGAGCAUGGAAUUGUAACUCAGCUAGAUAAUUGAAAUUUGUUAGGUUGUGCUGUAACAUUUUCCCAUGUGUUAGUAUAUUCAGCACUUGAUUGAAGUAGCAUAAUGAAAGGCUGAAAUCCUGAAGUAGCAAAAAAUGAACCAA